UUGAAUUGCAAUUUAACAAUGCAAUAAUAUUCAAAAUUGUCUUGGAUUGACACUAUAUAUCUAAUUUAGAUAAAAAAAAAAAGAUAACUGAAAGAAUCAAAAAGGAAGAAUUGAAAAAAAAUUCCGGGUUUUUUAGUCCAUAAUGUAUUUCAUGAAUCUAAGUGGAAUAAGCAAAAUAGAUUCCUUGAUGGGUAGUUGAGCUGCAAUAAAAACCACACAAUUGAAGGAAAUGUCCGAAUUUUAUAUUUAGUAGAUCAAUAAACUGAGGUUUUGUCUGUCAUUUU
Molecule: long non-coding RNA, 284 nt
Filed under: Erythranthe guttata (spotted monkey flower)
Lineage: Eukaryota; Viridiplantae; Streptophyta; Magnoliopsida; Lamiales; Phrymaceae
Description: long non-coding RNA (EGUT_LNC001790)
Source: RNAcentral